UACAGGGGGGGCAAGCGUUGUUCGGAAUUACUGGGCGUAAAGGGCUCGUAGGCGGCCAACUAAGUCACACGUGAAAUCCCCAGGCUUAACCUGGGAACUGCGUGUGAUACUGGAUGGCUUGAAUUCGGGAGAGGGAUGCAGAAUUCCAGGUGUAGCGGUGAAAUGCGUAGAUAUCUGGAGGAAUACCGGUGGCGAAGGCGGCCUGCUGGGCAGUAGCUGACACUGAGGCGCGACAGCGUGGGGAGCAAACAGG
RNAcentral lists this ribosomal RNA (253 nucleotides) under uncultured bacterium. Its description in RNAcentral is "partial 16S ribosomal RNA". It matches the Rfam family "Bacterial small subunit ribosomal RNA", at positions 524 to 776 of the family's 1533-position model. The record is from RNAcentral.